This 427-nucleotide ribosomal RNA is filed under the name uncultured bacterium. Its description in RNAcentral is "partial 16S ribosomal RNA". It matches the Rfam family "Bacterial small subunit ribosomal RNA", at positions 355 to 774 of the family's 1533-position model. The record is from RNAcentral.
UGGGGAAUAUUGGACAAUGGGCGAAAGCCUGAUCCAGCCAUGCCGCGUGUGUGAAGAAGGUCUUCGGAUUGUAAAGCACUUUAAGUUGGGAGGAAGGGCAUUAACCUAAUACGUUAGUGUUUUGACGUUACCGACAGAAUAAGCACCGGCUAACUCUGUGCCAGCAGCCGCGGUAAUACAGAGGGUGCAAGCGUUAAUCGGAAUUACUGGGCGUAAAGCGCGCGUAGGUGGUUUGUUAAGUUGGAUGUGAAAUCCCCGGGCUCAACCUGGGAACUGCAUUCAAAACUGACUGACUAGAGUAUGGUAGAGGGUGGUGGAAUUUCCUGUGUAGCGGUGAAAUGCGUAGAAAUAGGAAGGAACACCAGUGGCGAAGGCGACCACCUGGACUAAUACUGACACUGAGGUGCGAAAGCGUGGGGAGCAAACA